RNAcentral lists this long non-coding RNA (2023 nucleotides) under Eucalyptus grandis. RNAcentral's name for it is "long non-coding RNA (EGRA_LNC005699)". The record is from RNAcentral. Lineage: Eukaryota; Viridiplantae; Streptophyta; Magnoliopsida; Myrtales; Myrtaceae.
GGCCACCUCCGGCCACCGCCCAACCCCGCCGGACCUCCCCCGCAACCCCCUCGCCCUCCGCCGGCUUUCCCUCGCCGCCCUAGCCGCCGGAGCAAGCCCGAUCGGCUCCGUCCAGCAGACCCACGGAGUGGGUUUCAGCGACUUCGGGCCCGCUUUUGGGUCGUUUCCCGGCCCCGAACCCGAGCCGUGCUUUGGGAACAAUCGUUCCUCGCGUCGCCGCCGUCGGAUUGAUCCGAUUUGCGGGCGAUUUGGUGAGUAAUCUCACUAAUCUCGGAUUAGUUGGCUAAUUAUGCUUUAGGUUGGUUUAGUUUUAAUUAAUUAUGUUUAGGUUGUUAGAUUAGAAGUAAUUAGCAAUUAUUAGUCAAUUGUGAUGCGAUUUAGAUAAAUUGAUUGUGCAAUUAACAAGUAGACGUGGUCUACUAUUUAUUGGGAGUGUCUCGGGAAUUUUCGGACCCCUAAUCGGGCUUCAAUUUGGCGAUUCGGGCCUAAGUGAGAUUUUUGGGCAUUUAAAUAUUAAUUUUCGGAAUUAAAUUAAAUAAUUAUUUAUUUUCCGAAAAUUCAAGGGAGAUGGUUCGGAACCGGAAUAUUAUGCUGAUGACCGUGGUGAAGUCUGUUUAUUUAAUCGGGCUUUAUUUUAAGCUAAAUUGAAUUUUUAAUAUUAAUUAUUUAAUUUUAGAAAUUAAUUAAUUAAUUAUUUAUUUCCUGAAAAUUCAACUGAGAUGGCCUGGAACCGGAAAAUUAUGCUGAUGACCGUGGUGAAGCCCGUUUGUUUAAUUGUGUUUUAGUUUGUGCUAAUUUGAAUUAUUAGUAUUUAUUAAUUAAAUUUCGAAAUUAAUUAAUUAUUUAUUUAUUUUUCGGAAAUUAAGAUUGAGAUGGCCGACGACCGAAAUCUCGUGCCGAUUGUCGUGACGCAGUCCGUUUAUUUAUUUGAGCUUUGAAUUGUGCCAAAUUAAAUCUUGCAAGGGGUCGAGUGGGACCGUAAAGCCAUUAAAUCUUGCAAGGGGUCGAGUGGGACCGUAAAGCCAUUAAAUCUUGCAAGGGGUCGAGUGGGACCGUAAAGCCAUUAAAUCUUGCAAGGGGUCGAGUGGGACCGUAAAGCCAUUAAAUCUUGCAAGGGGUCGAGUGGGACCGUAAAGCCAUUAAAUCUUGCAAGGGGUCGAGUGGGACCGUAAAGCCAUUAAAUCUUGCAAGGGGUCGAGUGGGACCGUAAAGCCAUUAAAUCUUGCAAGUGGUCGAGUGGGACCGUAAAGCCAUUAAAUCUUGAAAGUGGUCGAGUGGGACCGUAAAGCCAUUAAAUAUUGAAUGUUGCUGAGUGGGACUCUGAAUAGCAAUAGUUUGAAUGACCGGGAAAUGGUCAGGUUGACAUGUAAUCGACAAGGUCGAUUGAUCAUUGUUUUGAUUUGAUGUUGUGAAUUGAUUGACUGAAUGGGAAUGACCGUGAGUGGUCUUGUUGACUUGUCAUCGACUAGGUCGAUUUGAUUGAUGCCUUGAUCGGUGAUACGAUUGCUUGAGUGCCUAUUGUGAAUUGUACUGACUUGCAGGUGGGAUAUGAUGCUAAGGUACGCCUUCUGACCUAUGUGUGUUUAGGCAGCCUUUAGUAUAAUGGUUUACUAAUCGGGCUUAGUGGGGUAGAACUCGCUGAGACGUAGUCUCAUCCCAGUUUGGGGAAAACCAUUUCAGGACCCCGCUAAGGAGCUGAGGAGGAAGAGUUGGAGAAGGAUUUUGGGAGAAGAAGACAAUCUCGAGAGGGCCCGUGAGUACGGCCUAGAUGGACUGAAAUUUUAUCUUCUUUGAUAUCUCCAUUUUGAUGUGAAUAGAGUUUAGAAUAAAAAAUUGUGAAGUGUUCUGGUUUGUGGUUUGUAUAAAAGUUUGGUUAUAAAUUUUUCAAUAUGAAAAAUAUGGCCCUGCUUUUCUAUCCCAUCGAUUUAUUGUCUGGGGAUUUUUAAUUGCUUCCGCAUGUGCUUAAAAAUGAAAGGGUCGGCGAUACAUUGUCCUGGGAUAUCGCAUUAUAAAAUCGACCAAG